This 495-nucleotide ribosomal RNA is filed under the name uncultured bacterium. Its description in RNAcentral is "partial 16S ribosomal RNA". It matches the Rfam family "Bacterial small subunit ribosomal RNA", at positions 28 to 507 of the family's 1533-position model. The record is from RNAcentral.
GACGAACGCUGGCGGCGUGCCUAAUACAUGCAAGUAGAACGCUGAAGGAGGAGCUUGCUUCUCUGGAUGAGUUGCGAACGGGUGAGUAACGCGUAGGUAACCUGCCUGGUAGCGGGGGAUAACUAUUGGAAACGAUAGCUAAUACCGCAUAAUAGCAGUUAUUGCAUGAUAACUGUUUGAAAGGUGCAAUUGCACCACUACCAGAUGGACCUGCGUUGUAUUAGCUAGUUGGUGGGGUAACGGCUCACCAAGGCGACGAUACAUAGCCGACCUGAGAGGGUGAUCGGCCACAAUGGGACUGAGACACGGCCCAGACUCCUACCGGAGGCAGCAGUAGGGGAUCUUCGGCAAUGGAGGGAAGUCUGGACGAGCAACGCCGCGUGGGUGAAGAAGGUUUUCGGAUCGUAAAGCUCUGUUGUAAGGGAAGAACGAGUGUGAGAGUGGAAAGUUCACACUGUGACGGUAUCUUACCAGAAAGAGACGGCUAACUACGUG